This 73-nucleotide transfer RNA is filed under the name Loxodonta africana (African savanna elephant). It matches the Rfam family "tRNA". Rfam says of the family: Transfer RNA (tRNA) molecules are approximately 80 nucleotides in length. Their secondary structure includes four short double-helical elements and three loops (D, anti-codon, and T loops). The record is from Rfam by way of RNAcentral. Lineage: Eukaryota; Metazoa; Chordata; Mammalia; Proboscidea; Elephantidae.
CCUUAGGUGGUGCAAAUGGUUAGCAUGCUCAGCUGCUAACUGAUUAGCUGGAGGUUCAAGCCCACCCAGAGGC